GUUUUCUGCAACCUUUGGUUGCUAGUCUUUAGGUUAUUUUAUAUUGACAUGCCAUAAAAAAAAAUAAUAUUUUCAUAGAUUGAUAGUAUCAGUUAAAUAGAUUUUAGUUUGUUGAAUGGUCAAUCUGUGCAAAUUGAAUAAUCAAAAUUAUGGGUAAAGAGAAUAAUUAAUAAGUGUCAAAUUAAUAGUGAUAAAAAAUAAUUUGUUAAUCUAACAAGUGUUACAUGAGUAAAAAUAAUUUAGAAACUUAUUACUGAAAGUAAUACAAGUUUUGUUCUUUCCAUUGUGUAUAUAUAUAUAUGUGUGUGUG
This 310-nucleotide unclassified non-coding RNA is filed under the name Hevea brasiliensis (rubber tree). The record is from RNAcentral. Lineage: Eukaryota; Viridiplantae; Streptophyta; Magnoliopsida; Malpighiales; Euphorbiaceae.